Molecule: ribosomal RNA, 404 nt
Filed under: Bacillota bacterium
Lineage: Bacteria; Bacillati; Bacillota
Description: Firmicutes bacterium partial 16S ribosomal RNA
Rfam family: Bacterial small subunit ribosomal RNA
Source: RNAcentral
UCGGGAAUUUUGCUCAAUGGGCGAAAGCCUGAAGCAGCAACGCCGCGUGAGGGAUGAAGGCCUUCGGGUUGUAAACCUCUUUUCUGAGGGACGAUGAUGACGGUACCUCAGGAAUAAGCCACGGCUGACUACUUGCCAGCAGCCGCGGUAAUACGUAGGUGGCAAGCGUUGUCCGUAUUUACUGGGCGUAAAGAGCGCGCAGGCGGUUUGAUAAGUCGAAUGUGAAAUCCCCCGGCUCAACUGGGGAGCGUCAUUCGAUACUGUCUGACUUGAAGGCAGGAGAGGGAAGCGGAAUUCCCGGUGUAGUGGUGAAAUGCGUAGAUAUCGGGAGGAACACCAGUGGCGAAGGCGGCUUCCUGGCAUGUUCUUGACGCUGAGGCGCGAAAGCCAGGGGAGCAAACGGG